AGUGAACGCUGGCGGUAGGCCUAACACAUGCAAGUCGAACGGCAGCACAGUAAGAGCUUGCUCUUACGGGUGGCGAGUGGCGGACGGGUGAGGAAUACAUCGGAAUCUACUUUUUCGUGGGGGAUAACGUAGGGAAACUUACGCUAAUACCGCAUACGACCUACGGGUGAAAGCAGGGGAUCUUCGGACCUUGCGCGAUUGAAUGAGCCGAUGUCGGAUUAGCUAGUUGGCGGGGUAAAGGCCCACCAAGGCGACGAUCCGUAGCUGGUCUGAGAGGAUGAUCAGCCACACGGGAACUGAGACACGGUCCAGACUCCUACGGGAGGCAGCAGUGGGGAAUAUUGGACAAUGGGCGCAAGCCUGAUCCAGCCAUACCGCGUGGGUGAAGAUGGCCUUCGGGUUGUAAAGCCCUGUUGUUGGGAAAGAAAAGCAGCAGGUUAAUACCGCGCUGUUCUGACGGUACCCAAAGAAUAAGCACCGGCUAACUUCGUG
RNAcentral lists this ribosomal RNA (492 nucleotides) under uncultured bacterium. Its description in RNAcentral is "partial 16S ribosomal RNA". It matches the Rfam family "Bacterial small subunit ribosomal RNA", at positions 29 to 507 of the family's 1533-position model. The record is from RNAcentral.